This 2834-nucleotide ribosomal RNA is filed under the name Entodinium caudatum. RNAcentral's name for it is "eukaryotic LSU rRNA". The stretch from base 1550 to 2834 matches the Rfam family "Eukaryotic large subunit ribosomal RNA", at positions 1890 to 3340 of the family's 3401-position model. Lineage: Eukaryota; Ciliophora; Litostomatea; Entodiniomorphida; Ophryoscolecidae. The record is from RNAcentral.
AUUAUUAAUAUAUGAAAAUAAUAUAAUUAUAAAUAAAAUUUUAAUUUUAAUAAUUCACUAAAAAAUAAUAUUAAAAUUAUAAUUAUAUUUUAAAUAUUUUUAUUUAUUUAAUUUCCAUAUUUUUUUCUUCCUCUAUUUUAUUCCUAUUAAUAUUAUUCAUUUUAGUAUUAUUUUGCUUUUUGUUUUUUAAUUCGAGUUUAUCACCUUGCAUAUUAUCAUUUAAUUCUUUCAGUUUUUGUUCAUAGUCUUCUUUGGGCACUGUAAUGCUAUGUUUAAUCCAAUUUCGAUAAGAUUCCAAUUCUCUCAAAAUAUCUUCAUUGCCUUCAUAUAAAUGACUAUAUUCGAAAAUCUUAUCAUUUAAUCUAAGCAUUGCUUGAAUUCUUUCUUUUUCUUUUAAGUCUUGUUUUUCGUUUUUUUUUGCAUCUUCAAUUUUUUCAAGUAUCUGGGAUUGGGAUAAAGAUUCAUUAAUAAAAACAUCAACACUUUUUGAUAUAUUAUUGUUUAAUUCUUUUGCUUCAAUAUGCAACAAGAAAUUUUCAUCGACUUCGAAAGUAACUAGAAUCUUAACUUGACCUUUGUUUGCUUGUGGUAAAUUUUUAAGCAUGAUUUUCUUAAGCAAAAAAUUAUCUUUAACUAAUUUUCUUUCUCCUGCGAAAAUUUCGAAUUUUAUACUGGUUUGAUUAUCUUGAGUCGUUAUAAAAUAUUUCUCUGCUUUUAUUGGUACUUUAGUUCCUCUAGGGAGAAUAACACUCAUUAAAUCCCCUUCGGCUCUUAUACCUAAAGAUAAAGGUGUUAUAUCAAAUAUUUUGAAAUUCUUAAAUUGCACAUUUUCCAUUUGAUUUAAUUUUUUUGCUGUAUAAAUAGCUGCACCCAUUGGAAUUGAAUUAUAAUAGUCACAAACAUCUAUAUCAGGGAAUUCUUCUAAUAUUCUUUCUUUGAGUUUUACUAUACGAAUUGAAUUACCUUGAAGGCAAAUGUGAUUAAUAUCACUUUUUUGUAAUUUUGAUUCUUUUAUUAAAUUGUCUAUUAAUUUGAUAAUUUUAUUAUAAUUGUCUUUAUUCAAUUCAUCGAAUCUCUCUCUUUUUAUAGUGUAUUUAAGUUCUUUUUUGUUAUCCAACUUUUUUUCUUCAAUUAUAGCUUCAUUUUGGAAGGUUAAUUUAAUCUUAGCUUCUUCUACCUUUUUAUUUAAUAUUUGCAUUUUCAUUGGAUCAUUUGGAAUUUGACCUCCUUCGUUUUUAUAGGUCUCUUUUACCUCUUUUAGAAGUUCACAGUCGAAAAUAUUACCACCACAUUCACCUGAUCCACCUGAUAAUUUAACUCUUAUGGAAUUGUGUUUGCUGAUAUUUAGCAAUGUUAUAUAGAUUUAAUUUGGACUCUUAAUCAGAAACAGGUUUAAUAUUAAUCCAUAUAAAAAUUCAUAUAUAACCAUAUUUUUAUAUUUGAUAUACUAAAUGGUUGUUAAGCUAAAGUUUCAAUAAAUGAUAGAAAUAUCCCUUUUAGGAUAAACCCAUAACCGCAUCAGGUUUCCAAGGUCAGAAGCCUCUGGUCUAUAGAAUAAUGUCGAUAAGGGAAGUCGGCAAAAUAGAUCCUUAACUUCGGGAAAAGGAUUGGCUCUAAGGAUUGGCCAGAUUUAUCCUGAUGUGUAAGUGUUUAAUUAUGUACAUUUCUUGAUAGACUGGCAUAAAACAAUCAACUUAAAACUGUCGCGGACAAGGGAAUUUAUUUAAUUAAAAUAAAGCAUUGUGAUGAGAUAAAAGGUGUUGACACAAUGUGAUUUCACCAAGUGUUCUGAAUGUUAAGGUGAAGUAAUUCAAAAAAGAGUGCGUAAACGGGGGAAGUAACUAUGGCUCGAAGAAGGUAGCUAAAUCCCUCUUAACAAAUUAGUGACCCACAUGAAUGGAUUAACGAGAUUCUGACUGUCCUUAUCUAUUAUCUAGCGAACCCACAGCAAAGGAAACGGGCCCGGAAAAAUCAGAGGGGAAAGAAGAACUUGUUGAAUUGACUCUAGUUUGACUUUGUGAAACGACUUUCGAGAUGUAGGAUAAAUAGGAGAGUAAUCAAUGGUGAAACACCACUACUUGAGAUUUCGUCUUAAUUAUUCCCUUAAUUAGAAAUUCCUCUUAGGAAUUUUUAAACAAAGGUAAAUACUGCUCUAGGCGAAAGACAUAGUCAGGUGGGGAGUUUGGCUGGGCAGCACUACUAUUAAAUGAUAACGCAGAUUUCCAAAGGAGAACUCAAAGAGUACAGAAAUCUCUCGUAGACAAAAAGGGGAAAAGCUCACUUGAUUUUUGGAAAUAUGGUCUAUCAAUCCUUUAACCUAUCUAUUCAUGAGAUUAGAGAUGUUAGAAACGUUACCACACGGAUAACUGGCUUGUGGCAGCCAAGCAAACAUAACGGCGUUGCUUUUUGAUGUUUUGAUGUCACUCUUUCUAUCGGGAAGCAAAAUUCUCCAUGUGUCGGAUUAUUCACCCUUAAUAGGGAAGGUGAUCUGGGUUUAGGCCUUCGUGAGACAGGUAAGUUUUACCCUACUGAUGAAUUGUGUUGCGACAGUAGACUAACUUCGCAUAAAGAGGAACCGUUGGUUCAGAUAAUUGGUAAAUACUGUUAGCUGAUCAGAUAAUGCCGAAGCUACCACCUGUUGGAUUAUGACUGAACUCCUCUUACAGAAAAGCAACACAAUCACUAAUAAUAAAUGAAAACAAAUAAGUUUAUAAAAUUAAUCUUUGGCUAAUGUUUAGUAUGGAAAAUUCCAUCUAACAAAAUUGAUUCAUAAUUUCUAUUAUUAUUGGUGCAAAUCUUUUGUAGACGACUUAAAAUAGAACUGGGUAUUGUAC